CAGUCGCCGCGGUAAUACGUAGGUGGCAAGCGUUGUCCGGGAUUAUUGGGCGUAAAGGGCUCGCAGGCGGUUUCUUAAGUCUGAUGUGAAAGCCCCCGGCUCAACCGGGGAGGGUCAUUGGAAACUGGGAAACUUGAGUGCAGAAGAGGAGAGUGGAAUUCCACGUGUAGCGGUGAAAUGCGUAGAGAUGUGGAGGAACACCAGUGGCGAAGGCGACUCUCUGGUCUGUAACUGACGCUGAGGAGCGAAAGCGUGGGGAGCGAACAGGAUUAGAUACCCGUGUAGUCCCUGUCUCUUAUAA
RNAcentral lists this ribosomal RNA (301 nucleotides) under uncultured bacterium. RNAcentral's name for it is "partial 16S ribosomal RNA". It matches the Rfam family "Bacterial small subunit ribosomal RNA", at positions 509 to 809 of the family's 1533-position model. The record is from RNAcentral.